GGUUAAGCGACUAAGCGUACACGGUGGAUGCCCUGGCAGUCAGAGGCGAUGAAGGACGUGCUAAUCUGCGAUAAGCGUCGGUGAGGUGAUAU
This 92-nucleotide ribosomal RNA is filed under the name Escherichia coli. Its description in RNAcentral is "partial 23S ribosomal RNA". It matches the Rfam family "Bacterial large subunit ribosomal RNA", at positions 1 to 92 of the family's 2925-position model. The record is from RNAcentral. Lineage: Bacteria; Pseudomonadati; Pseudomonadota; Gammaproteobacteria; Enterobacterales; Enterobacteriaceae.